GGGAGGCGCCGGCUGCGCGCCGCACCGGGGCCUGCGCGGCCGGUCGGUGACCCUGAGGGGAGCGUUGGUCGGGAUGUUCGGAAAAACACCCCUCCCUUCCCCCCAGUGUGAAGAUCCCUCUGCUGCAUAUAUGGGAGUGGAAGUAUACAGUCGGCAGUUACCACAAUGCUCCCACAACGAGGUGGGCUUCCACAAAGGUGAAUGUCGGUGGAGUGGCAGUAGAUUGAACCUUCCCACCAGUGUUCCAUCACAUGUCGCUGUGUGACAGAUGGCAGCAGAGCGGCACUGACAGAAUGGCAUCUGACAUGGAAGCGUGGAUGAAGCGAAGGUGUGGGACUGAAUUCCUCCUUGUGGAAAAAAAAAAU
Molecule: long non-coding RNA, 365 nt
Organism: Gallus gallus (chicken)
Lineage: Eukaryota; Metazoa; Chordata; Aves; Galliformes; Phasianidae
Source: Ensembl